RNAcentral lists this long non-coding RNA (200 nucleotides) under Phoenix dactylifera (date palm). Its description in RNAcentral is "long non-coding RNA (PDAC_LNC017277)". Lineage: Eukaryota; Viridiplantae; Streptophyta; Magnoliopsida; Arecales; Arecaceae. The record is from RNAcentral.
GCAUCUACUCUUUCAAUCUCCCACUUGCACUAAAGCCAAUCGCCCUUAUAUUUCAUCCCCAUACAAUCGAGGUGGCGAUCGAACUGUUGUUGUGGUAGAGCUUUAGUGAACGGGUCUGCUAAGUUAUUCUUUGUGUCUACUCGUUCAAUGACUAUGUCUUGUCUCUCGACGAUCUCUCGAACAAGGUGGAAGCGUCUUAG